This 891-nucleotide ribosomal RNA is filed under the name Pratylenchus neglectus. RNAcentral describes it as "SSU rRNA". It matches the Rfam family "Eukaryotic small subunit ribosomal RNA", at positions 749 to 1664 of the family's 1831-position model. Lineage: Eukaryota; Metazoa; Nematoda; Chromadorea; Rhabditida; Pratylenchidae. The record is from RNAcentral.
ACUUUACUUUGAACAAAUCAGAGUGCUCAAAACAGGCGUUUCGCUUGAAUGUUCGUGCAUGGAAUAAUAGAAGAGGAUUUCGGUUCAAUUUUAUUGGUUUUAUUGACUGAGAUAAUGGUUAACAGAGACAAACGGGGGCAUUAGUAUUGCCACGUGAGAGGUGAAAUUCUUGGACCGUGGCAAGACUGACUACAGCGAAAGCAUUUGCCAAGAAUGUCUUCAUUAAUCAAGAACGAAAGUCAGAGGUUCGAAGGCGAUCAGAUACCGCCCUAGUUCUGACCGUAAACGAUGCCAACUAGCGAUCCGCCGAUGGAAACACAAAUUGCCAUGGUGGGGAGCUUCCCGGAAACGAAAGUCUUCCGGUUCCGGGGGAAGUAUGGUUGCAAAGCUGAAACUUAAAGGAAUUGACGGAAGGGCACCACCAGGAGUGGAGCCUGCGGCUUAAUUUGACUCAACACGGGGAAACUCACCCGGCCCGGACACCGUAAGGAUUGACAGAUUGACAGCUUUUUCAUGAUUCGGUGGAUGGUGGUGCAUGGCCGUUCUUAGUUCGUGGAGCGAUCUGUCUGGUUUAUUCCGAUAACGAGCGAGACUCUGGCCUACUAACUAGUCCGCGCAUUGCCUCUGUGCCGUUGGACUUCUUAGAGGGAUUCGCGGUGUUCAGCCGCAAGAAAUGGAGCAAUAACAGGUCUGUGAUGCCCUUAGAUGUCCGGGGCUGCACGCGCGCUACACUGGCAGAAUCAGCUGGCUUGUCCUGCCCCGAAAGGGGCGGGUAAACCCGUGAAAAUCUGCCGUGAUUGGGAUCGGAAAUUGCAAUUAUUUUCCGUGAACGAGGAAUUCCAAGUAAGUGCGUGUCAUCAACACGCGUUGAUUACGUCCCUGCCCUUUGUA